Molecule: ribosomal RNA, 122 nt
Filed under: Gongora armeniaca
Lineage: Eukaryota; Viridiplantae; Streptophyta; Magnoliopsida; Asparagales; Orchidaceae
Description: partial 18S ribosomal RNA
Rfam family: Eukaryotic small subunit ribosomal RNA
Source: RNAcentral
GAUCGCUGCGAUCGGGCGGUUCGCCGCCCGCGACUCGGCGAGAAAUCCAUUGAACCUUAUCAUUUAGAGGAAGGANAAGUCGUAACAAGGUUUCCGUAGGUGAACCUGCGGAAGGAUCAUUG